UACGUAGGGGGCGAGCGUUGUUCGGAAUUAUUGGGCGUAAAGAGCGUGUAGGCGGCUGGAUAAGUCAGAUGUGAAAGCCCUGGGCUUAACCCAGGAAGUGCAUUUGAAACUGUCCGGCUUGAGUAGGGGAGAGGGAAGUGGAAUUCCUGGUGUAGAGGUGAAAUUCGUAGAUAUCAGGAGGAACACCGGCGGCGAAGGCGACUUCCUGGCCCUAUACUGACGCUGAGACGCGAGAGCGUGGGUAGCAAACAGG
Molecule: ribosomal RNA, 253 nt
Filed under: uncultured bacterium
Lineage: Bacteria
Description: partial 16S ribosomal RNA
Rfam family: Bacterial small subunit ribosomal RNA
Source: RNAcentral